RNAcentral lists this ribosomal RNA (445 nucleotides) under uncultured Actinomycetes bacterium. RNAcentral's name for it is "bacterial SSU rRNA". It matches the Rfam family "Bacterial small subunit ribosomal RNA", at positions 338 to 795 of the family's 1533-position model. The record is from RNAcentral. Lineage: Bacteria; Bacillati; Actinomycetota; Actinomycetes.
CCUACGGGAGGCAGCAGUGGGGAAUAUUGCACAAUGGGCGAAAGCCUGAUGCAGCAACGCCGCGUGGGGGAUGACGGCCUUCGGGUUGUAAACCUCUUUUAGCAGGGAAGAAGCGAAAGUGACGGUACCUGCAGAAAAAGCACCGGCUAACUACGUGCCAGCAGCCGCGGUAAUACGUAGGGUGCAAGCGUUGUCCGGAAUUAUUGGGCGUAAAGAGCUCGUAGGCGGUUGGUCGCGUCUGCUGUGAAAACCCGAGGCUCAACCUCGGGCCUGCAGUGGGUACGGGCCAACUAGAGUGCGGUAGGGGAGAUCGGAAUUCCUGGUGUAGCGGUGGAAUGCGCAGAUAUCAGGAGGAACACCAAUGGCGAAGGCAGAUCUCUGGGCCGUAACUGACGCUGAGGAGCGAAAGCGUGGGGAGCGAACAGGAUUAGAUACCCUGGUAGUC